This 263-nucleotide ribosomal RNA is filed under the name uncultured archaeon. Its description in RNAcentral is "partial 16S ribosomal RNA". It matches the Rfam family "Archaeal small subunit ribosomal RNA", at positions 748 to 1009 of the family's 1478-position model. The record is from RNAcentral.
CAGCCGUAAACUAUGCGCGUUAGGUGUAUCGGUGACCACGAGUUACCGAGGUGCCGAAGGGAAACCGUGAAACGUGCCGCCUGGGAAGUACGGUCGCAAGGCUGAAACUUAAAGGAAUUGGCGGGGGGAGCACCACAACGGGUGGAGCCUGCGGUUUAAUUGGACUCAACGCCGGGAAGGCUCACCGGAUAAGACAGCGGAAUGAUUGCCGGGCUGAAGACUCUGCAUGACUAGCUGAGAGGAGGUGCAUGGCGUAGACGUCU